This 492-nucleotide ribosomal RNA is filed under the name uncultured bacterium. Its description in RNAcentral is "partial 16S ribosomal RNA". It matches the Rfam family "Bacterial small subunit ribosomal RNA", at positions 29 to 507 of the family's 1533-position model. The record is from RNAcentral.
AGUGAACGCUGGCGGUAGGCCUAACACAUGCAAGUCGAACGGCAGCACAGUAAGAGCUUGCUCUUACGGGUGGCGAGUGGCGGACGGGUGAGGAAUACAUCGGAAUCUACUUUUUCGUGGGGGAUAACGUAGGGAAACUUACGCUAAUACCGCAUACGACCUACGGGUGAAAGCAGGGGAUCUUCGGACCUUGCGCGAUUGAAUGAGCCGAUGUCGGAUUAGCUAGUUGGCGGGGUAAAGGCCCACCAAGGCGACGAUCCGUAGCUGGUCUGAGAGGAUGAUCAGCCAGACGGGAACUGAGACACGGUCCAGACUCCGACGGGAGGCAGCAGUGGGGAAUAUUGGGCAAUGGGCGCAAGCCUGAUCCAGCCAUACCGCGUGGGUGAAGAAGGCCUUCGGGUUGUAAAGCCAUUUUGUUGGGAAAGAAAAGCAGCAGGUUAAUACCCCGCUGUUCUGACGGUACCCAAAGAAUAAGCACCGGCUAACUUCGUG